AGAGUUUGAUCCUGGCUCAGAACGAACGCUGGCGGCGUGCCUAACACAUGCAAGUCGAACGGAGAUAAGGGGCUUGCUCCUUAUUUUAGUGGCGCACGGGUGAGUAACGCGUGGAUAAUCUACCUUGGAAUCUGGGAUAACAUUUCGAAAGGGGUGCUAAUACCGGAUAAGACCACGAGCUCUUUGGAGUUUGCGGUAAAAGGGGGCCUCUGUAUAUGCUUCUGUUUCAAGAUGAGUCCGCGUACCAUUAGCUAGUUGGCAGGGUAACGGCCUACCAAGGCAACGAUGGUUAGCUGGUCUGAGAGGAUGAUCAGCCACACUGGAACUGAGACACGGUCCAGACUCCUACGGGAGGCAGCAGUGGGGAAUUUUGCGCAAUGGGGGAAACCCUGACGCAGCAACGCCGCGUGAGUGAUGAAGGCCUUCGGGUCGUAAAGCUCUGUCAGAGGGAAAGAAGUGUAUUUUGGUUAAUACC
Molecule: ribosomal RNA, 475 nt
Filed under: uncultured bacterium
Lineage: Bacteria
Description: bacterial SSU rRNA
Rfam family: Bacterial small subunit ribosomal RNA
Source: RNAcentral